Molecule: ribosomal RNA, 305 nt
Filed under: uncultured bacterium
Lineage: Bacteria
Description: partial 16S ribosomal RNA
Rfam family: Bacterial small subunit ribosomal RNA
Source: RNAcentral
ACAGCAGUAGCCGCGGUAAUACGGAGGGGGCUAGCGUUGUUCGGAAGUACUGGGCGUAAAGCGCACGUAGGCGGCUUUGUAAGUCAGAGGUGAAAGCCUGGAGCUCAACUCCAGAAUUGCCUUUGAGACUGCAUCGCUUGAACGUCGGAGAGGUGAGUGGAAUUCCGAGUGUAGAGGUGAAAUUCGUAGAUAUUCGGAAGAACACCAGUGGCGAAGGCGGCUCACUGGACGACUGUUGACGCUGAGGUGCGAAAGCGUGGGGAGCAAACAGGAUUAGAUACCCCGGUAGUCCCUGUCUCUUAUAC